This 41-nucleotide non-coding RNA is filed under the name Echinostoma caproni. The record is from RNAcentral. Lineage: Eukaryota; Metazoa; Platyhelminthes; Trematoda; Plagiorchiida; Echinostomatidae.
CUGCUGACGAGUUCCAAACAGGACGAAACAGCUCUGUCCAG